GCUCAGGUAUGUCUUUAUUAGCAGCGUUCUUGAGGAUACAAUCAACCAAGGUACACUUUAAAUUAAAGCAGAUAUGUGGAUGAAACAGGAAAAAUACAAGGAUAUUCAAUAUCAACAUUUCCAUUAAGAAUUGUACCGGGGCAUCUGGCCAACAGAAUUCAGAGCCCCAGCCUGUUCAUAAAAAAAAUCAGAUGAAUUUUGUCUGCGAAACAUUCUGCAAAAAUAUCUGACCAGUAAAUAAUCCUCUAAAUAGCCACAGCAAGGAAAGUCUGAGAAAGUGUCACAGCCAAGAGGACCCUAUAAAGACAUGAUGACUAAAUGUAACAUGGUGUCUUCCAUGGGAUCCUGAGACAGAAAAAGGACAUUAGAGCUGGGCAUUGUGGUAUGUGCCUUUAGUCCUAGCUACUCUGGAGGCUGAGGCAGGAGGAUCACUUGAGCCCAGGACUUUGAGGCCACUGUAAGCUAUGAUCAUGCCACUGCACUCCAGCUCAGGAAACAAACAGUAUUUGUUCAACAAACAAAAGAAAAUAAAAGAAUGGUAGACAAGGCAAUAGGUAUUUUUUAAAGUGAGAGAAACUAUCAGAGAGCUGAAGCAGAAAAGCAAGUUAAAAAUAAAGGAAACAGAAAAGGAACUGAUAUAGCUGAUUUGAUACUAGAAAGAUCACCCAGGAGGCAGCACGGAGAAUGGAUUGGAGAAGG
RNAcentral lists this non-coding RNA (699 nucleotides) under Pongo abelii (Sumatran orangutan). The record is from RNAcentral. Lineage: Eukaryota; Metazoa; Chordata; Mammalia; Primates; Hominidae.